UUUCGGCGAUGAUUGGUGUUCUCUUUAAUAAAUGGGUUUUUCGGGGUUGGGCUUUAGAAGAACAUUAUAAGGGGCUGGGGAGAGUUCUUUCGUCGUACUAUACAUGUGAUGCAUUGCCAGAGUUAUUACGCAUUGCACACCUGAAAAAUGUUUUUGUGACGGAUCGCUAUCAACUAUCACAGGGUUCUCUCCAUUGGUGUGUUAAUUUUACUUGAGAGGCCGAUGAUUGGGGAAGCGGCUCUUCUCAUUGUUUUUGAUCGGUUGGGUGGGAAGCAACAAUAGUUUCAAGUCUUCCCGUGAAUUUCUAGCACUUUUCCCCUCGGAAGUUAGGUGGAUCUGUUGUAGUUUGUGAUGUGAGUUGUACUAGGAGGGGAUGGUUCAAUGAAGAUAUGGAUGUCAUAGCCGGUGAAGCGUGUGGGGCAGGCCUUUCUUUUCCAAUCUGUUAUCUUGGACUCAACAGCAAGGCAUGUUAAAGUUGUUUAUGAUUUUGUGAACUAUCAAACCAUGCUGUGAAUUGUCCAGCAAAAGCAGCCUUGGUAUUCAGCUUAAAGCUAGAUAAUGGACACAAAUUACUUUUCCUGUUAUUGGCAGUAAGUUAAGGGCUCGGUUCUCUUAUGAUUCUAAAUGUAGAGAUCGUAUGUAUCCUAACCAUGAAGCUGAUUGAUCUGAUUCUCAGAAUAAGAAUCUGUUUUAGGAGAAAAAUGACCAAAUAGAACACACCUCUGGUGGAAAAAUUGUUCAGCAGGACUUGGGGCUGAAUGAGAGCAAAAAACAUGAUCGUGAACUGUGUGAUUCUACAGGCAAUGAGCAGUCAGCUUGUUUGAGCCAUGAUGUUAGUGAAAAAGAUGAGGUUCUUGGAAGAGAGAAUGACAAGAAGAUGUUGGAAGGAACAAUUUUCUCUGUGCAAGCAGGAACUUCACCUGAAGUCGGUAUGCAUGAUUCUAAUGAAGAAAGUCUGAUUGAGUGCACACAAAAUGUUGUACAUAGUUCCUGUAAGAAUGGCAAGUGGCCUGAAAAUGUAGAUAAUGUUAGAUUUGAUACUUCAUCAAUAGAGGAUCGUUGUAGCCCUCAGAUUAGAGACCCUUCUUUUCUGGCACGAGAUGCCAAUUUCACAAGUAGGCAUGUUGAAAGUAGCAAAGAUGACCCAUCAAUGAUGGUUAAAUGUGGCAACUGCAGUUUGCAAUAGGUUUCAGGAACAGAUAUGCAAAACAAAGAGGUUUCUUUAUCUACCGAUAACAUGCAGAUUUCUAAAAGCAAAGAAUUCUGGACCUGUCUUACAGGUUUGUACAGGUGGAUAUCCCAUUACUUCAGUCAGGAGGCUCUUCAUAUCUCCAUCUGCGAAAAGAACGAAGAUGACUCACCUAUGAAGCCAAAGCACCCAGUAUUAGCCAAGCUGAUUUUGCUGUUGAUCAAUGGUCUAUAAAAUAAAGUGCGAUCUUCCAUUUUUACCAUUUUAUCUGGUAGAAUUCUUGUGAGCUUGAGAUGAUGAAAUUUUCCUGGCAUCCUGUGCAUUUUUAUAAAUUCUAAAUUUGUUGUAUUUAUAGCUAAAUAGUGUAGUAACCACAAAACUACUGCUUGAGAAUCUGAGCUUCAGCUUGUAGUACCCAAUUUGUGAGGCAACUGUUUAUGUUUCUCAGCAUCUUGCUAGGCAACUUUCAAUACUAAAAAAGACUCUAUUGAUGCUUUUGUAGGCAUACCAGUGACUUGUACUCUUCUACAUGGAAAUGUUCAGUUUUCUAGAAAAAUUUGAGAAAACAGAGACGGGUUAUGGGAACAGCCAAGAAAUUACUCUAUUAAGCCACAGUUUGUGACAACCACCUUUGAGUAAGGACGGUUGAAGCCUCUUUCAGCCACGACAGCCCUCUUAUCGCCUAUCAGCUUGGCCACCCUGUUCAAUACAGAAGUUAGAUGUAUUUUUGUGAUUGUGGAUUGAUAAUGGAAGGAGUUCAUGCUAGAACUAAGAGCAGAAAAUUGAGAAACCAUGUAUAUUUUAGAUCCAGCUAAGCUCUAUGGUACACCUGUUAUCCU
Long non-coding RNA from Juglans microcarpa x Juglans regia, 2028 nucleotides. RefSeq lists it as uncharacterized. NCBI's taxonomy places the organism in Eukaryota, Viridiplantae, Streptophyta, Magnoliopsida, Fagales, Juglandaceae. The record is from RefSeq and is a predicted model, not a curated record. The transcript is spliced from 3 exons.